GAAAGUCAGUCUUCUAAUUUAAAUUCCUUCCUGAUGUUAGGGAGCAGGCAGACGGAAGACUAAAGAAGCUAUGAGAAGAAAAGGAAAAGGUCAGGUCAUUGAUUUGAACAGGAGACAAGCAGGCAGGCUAGCAUACAAGAGCAUACACACUGCAUACCCAGGAAAGUCAUGAUGAGUGAACAGAACAUAAACCUAUACUACUUGACAUUCUCGAAAUCUUUACUCACUGGGAAUUGAGUACUGUACAUUUAUGGACAAGAAGAUUACGAUUAUAUAACUAAAAGUAGGCUAUAAGUAAGUUCAUAUUCUAAGAACCAGUAUUUUGCAUAUACCAAUCCCUAGAUUAAAUAUUAAUUACAUAAUUACCCCUCGCUUGAAGCAGGUUAAUACAAUGACAAUAUCUGCUAUUCAUUGAUUCAUUGCCUGGGAACAAUAAAACGAUCUCCCUUAUGUAACUCAAAUAACCCAGGCUUACUGGAGAAAUAAAAACUAGCCUGGACACAGACCUGUUUGUGCUCUUGUCUACUCCACUGCUCAUUGUCAAGCCAUUCAUGCUGGAGUAGGCAUCAUCAACAAACAGACUAGCACUCAGGCUAAAAUAAAACAGAGUAAAGUAAUGGGUGGGGGAAAUGCAGGGUUGGGACAAAAAAAUGAAUGACCCACAAACACCACAGUCAACCAGGUCUUGGGUAAGACCACAGUCAACCAGGUCUUGGGUAACACCACAGUCAACCAGGUCUUGGGUAACACCACAGUCAACCAGGUCUUGUGCAUUUUAAGAUGCCCUACUACAUCUGAUCAUGUAAUACAGUUGCCUGGCUACCCAAACUCCUUGCUCCGGGCCAAACGCUAAGCCACGCCCACGGAAGUUAGUUUAUUCACCGCAAUGAGUCUGGAUCUGAGUACCUCCCAGACGAUUUCUAGAACGCAAACGCAUUCUAACCGUUUUGAUUGGUCCCAGAAACCGAUGGAUUGGGCCAGAGC
This is a long non-coding RNA of Coregonus clupeaformis (lake whitefish), 984 nucleotides long. RefSeq lists it as uncharacterized. The record is from RefSeq and is a predicted model, not a curated record. NCBI's taxonomy places the organism in Eukaryota, Metazoa, Chordata, Actinopteri, Salmoniformes, Salmonidae. The transcript has 2 exons.